GGAUGGGAGUCUGCAACUUGAAUUCGGAAAGGUGAAAUCUCUAGUAUUCGAAUAUCACGGAUGAUCCGGUGAAUACGUUCCCGGGCCCCGCCCACCCCGCCCGGCAAGCCAUUUAAGCCGGGAGUGCCUAAAGUCGGUGAAAGCAAGGAGAUUCCCAGGGCAAAACUGGUAACUAGGGCUAAGUCGUAACAAGGUAACCAAGGGCGAA
This 208-nucleotide ribosomal RNA is filed under the name uncultured bacterium. Its description in RNAcentral is "partial 16S ribosomal RNA". It matches the Rfam family "Bacterial small subunit ribosomal RNA", at positions 1295 to 1510 of the family's 1533-position model. The record is from RNAcentral.